GACGAACGCUGGCGGCGUGCUUAACACAUGCAAGUCGAGCGGUAAGGCUCUUUCGGGGGUACACGAGCGGCGAACGGGUGAGUAACACGUGGGUGACCUGCCCUUAGCUCUGGGAUAAGCCUGGGAAACUGGGCCUAAUACCGGAUAUGACUCCAUAACGCAUGUUGUGGGGUGGAAAGCCUUGUGCGGCUAGGGAUGGGCCCGCGGCCUAUCAGCUUGUUGGUGGGGUGAUGGCCUACCAAGGCGACGACGGGUAGCCGGCCUGAGAGGGCGACCGGCCACACUGGGACUGAGACACGGCCCAGACUCCUACGGGAGGCAGCAGUGGGGAAUCUUGCGCAAUGGGCGAAAGCCUGACGCAGCGACGCCGCGUGGGGAUGACGGCCU
This 387-nucleotide ribosomal RNA is filed under the name uncultured bacterium. RNAcentral's name for it is "bacterial SSU rRNA". It matches the Rfam family "Bacterial small subunit ribosomal RNA", at positions 28 to 417 of the family's 1533-position model. The record is from RNAcentral.